AUGUCUCCUAUGGCUUCUUCUCCUCUUCAAGCUGAGACUUUUGGUCUCAUGCUUGCAACCAGGCUGGCGGAAAUACUCAAUGUUCAGGAUCCACAUUUCUUUACGGAUUGUUCAGUGCUAGUUUCGGCAGCAAAAUCGACGGACAUUCUCUCUGCUCCAGGUCCAUGGGACAACAGGCCACUGCUUGCACAGAUACAAAACAGUCUUUCUUUUCAGAGUGGCAAAGUUGCUCACAUUAGCAGGGGAAACAAUGUCAAGGCGCAUCAUCUUGCACGCCUAGCUUUGAAAGUUAAAAACAGCCAUGUACAGUUUCGUUGCUUAUGUCUUGAUGCAGGACUUUGUUCAACUAGGGAUUCCCUCUCUGUAUCCAGUGUGCUUCCUUUCACGCUUGUCUCUGUAAAAUGCUCCUAA
Molecule: ribosomal RNA, 411 nt
Filed under: Triticum aestivum (bread wheat)
Lineage: Eukaryota; Viridiplantae; Streptophyta; Magnoliopsida; Poales; Poaceae
Description: partial small subunit ribosomal RNA
Source: RNAcentral